RNAcentral lists this ribosomal RNA (255 nucleotides) under uncultured bacterium. RNAcentral describes it as "partial 16S ribosomal RNA". It matches the Rfam family "Bacterial small subunit ribosomal RNA", at positions 524 to 776 of the family's 1533-position model. The record is from RNAcentral.
UACAGAGGUCCCCGAGCGUUUGUUCGGAUUCACUGGGCGUAAAGGGUGCGUAGGUGGUGAGGUAAGUCGGAUGUGAAAUCUCCGGGCUUAACCCGGAAACUGCAUUGGAAACUACCUUGCUAGAGGUUUUGAGGGGGGACUGGAAUUCUCGGUGUAGCAGUGAAAUGCGUAGAUAUCGAGAGGAACACCGGUGGCGAAGGCGAGUCCCUGGAAAACACCUGACACUGAGGCACGAAAGCUAGGGGAGCAAACAGG